GUUUUACUUUCUCUGAAAUAUAGCACCCAGAAGGGAAACUAGGAGGGUGUUCAUGAAGGGCGAUUUGAAAGUAACUGACAAAAAAAAAAAAAGGAAAAAAAAAGAAUAAAAAAACAAAACAACUCAUUCCUUACAGAUGGCCGAAAUAGCUCAAUUGGGAGAGUGUUAGACUGAAGAUCUUCUGCAGGUCUCUGGUUCAAUUCCGGGUUUCGACAGCUGUUUCCGGACUCUUUUGUACAUGUCGACUCUGCUAAAUUAAUGUUUGGCCGCGUUAACUGUGUAAUACUGGCCCUCCACCAAAUGUCAGCCAUCUACCAAUAUUCAGUUUCCAAGGCAAAUAAAUGCCCACACCACGUGAGGCUGCCACUGGCUUUCACGGAAAAUUUCUCCCCUUAAAGAGUAUGUAAGUGAAUGCGGUGUUUUAAGAAUCGCCAGUUCUCCGUUCAACUUGUCCACAGCCCAACACAUUUGGACUACCAGGUUUGUGGUUUCCUUCGUUUACCCGCAGUGCCCCUGACAG
Molecule: long non-coding RNA, 520 nt
Filed under: Pan troglodytes (chimpanzee)
Lineage: Eukaryota; Metazoa; Chordata; Mammalia; Primates; Hominidae
Description: lncRNA (ENSPTRG00000054291.1)
Rfam family: tRNA (bases 140-215)
Source: RNAcentral